GACGAACGCUGGCGGCGUGCUUAACACAUGCAGGUCGAACGGAAAGGCCCUGCUUUUGUGGGGUGCUCGAGUGGCGAACGGGUGAGUAACACGUGAGUAACCUGCCCUUGACUUUGGGAUAACUUCAGGAAACUGGGGCUAAUACCGGAUAGGAGCUCCUGCUGCAUGGUGGGGGUUGGAAAGUUUCGGCGGUUGGGGAUGGACUCGCGGCUUAUCAGCUUGUUGGUGGGGUAGUGGCUUACCAAGGCUUUGACGGGUAGCCGGCCUGAGAGGGUGACCGGCGACAUUGGGACUGAGAUACGGCCCAGACUCCUACGGGAGGCAGCAGUGGGGAAUAUUGCACAAUGGGCGGAAGCCUGAUGCAGCAACGCCGCGUGCGGGAUGACGGCCUUCGGGUUGUAAACCGCUUUCGCCUGUGACGAAGCGUGAGUGACGGUAAUGGGUAAAGAAGCACCGGCUAACUACGUG
RNAcentral lists this ribosomal RNA (468 nucleotides) under uncultured bacterium. RNAcentral describes it as "partial 16S ribosomal RNA". It matches the Rfam family "Bacterial small subunit ribosomal RNA", at positions 28 to 507 of the family's 1533-position model. The record is from RNAcentral.